CGGGACGGGUGAGUAAUGUCUGGGAAACUGCCUGAUGGAGGGGGGUAACUACUGGAACGGUAGCUAAUACCGCAUAACGUCGCAAGACCAAAGAGGGGGACCUUCGGGGCCUCUUGCCAUCGGAUGUGCCCAGAUGGGAUUAGCUAGUAGGUGGGGUAACGGCUCACCUAGGCGACGAUCCCUAGCUGGUCUGAGAGGAUGACCAGCCACACUGGAACUGAGACACGGUCCAG
RNAcentral lists this ribosomal RNA (233 nucleotides) under uncultured bacterium. Its description in RNAcentral is "partial 16S ribosomal RNA". It matches the Rfam family "Bacterial small subunit ribosomal RNA", at positions 100 to 334 of the family's 1533-position model. The record is from RNAcentral.